Molecule: long non-coding RNA, 230 nt
Filed under: Mytilus galloprovincialis (Mediterranean mussel)
Lineage: Eukaryota; Metazoa; Mollusca; Bivalvia; Mytilida; Mytilidae
Source: RNAcentral
AAGCAAUACGUUAAAAUAUCAUGUGUCCGAAACGCUUAUCUGGAUUUAUUAUCAGGACCGCCCAUAAGUCGAAUAUUUGAAGACAUGGAUUUAUAAGGAGUAAUAGACUUUCCCGGCGAAACAAUGUACUUUUAAUGCAAUUGUUAGUAUAUGAAAACCAGCAGAAAUAUUGUUCAGAUGAUACUCUACAAACUGUUUUAUUUGAAAAAGUAAUAUUAGUGUUGUUUUUG